CUCUGUCUUUCGAUGAAACUCCUACAGACUUCUCGAUCUCCCCUCUACCAUCAACAAAGAGAAGAGGACUGAGGAAUCCAAUUUAAGUAAAAUGACACUACAUAUGUGAUGUCAGAUGUACUCCCCUUCCAACUAUCUCCACACCAACAUAUCAAGUUGUUGCUCUCCUAACAAGAGAUAGAAUCCUAGUGUAAAGGACAAAUAUACCAUUCCAACUUGAUUAUUAAUAUUAGACAAAAGAGUCACGGUUGUAACACUUUCAACUAAGAAUAGCAGUUCUGUGGAUGAAUUCCAUGUAACAAAUGGCUCGAGUUUGCAUUUGAUUGGUGUUCUUUGAGAAGUUCUUUGUGCUUCGAUUUUUGUAUCAGGAAAAUGUUAGAUUUUGUUGACCUAAUUAUAGUUUCUUUGCCUCCGCUGUGAUUCUUUUUUCCAUUAGUUCUCAUGAAAAUUCGUAAGUUGAUUUGCUUGAUAUCUAAAUAGUACGAUAGAGCAAGUUAUGUUCUUAUGUGGUAUGGAGCUUGCGUACAAUACAUCUGACCUUUCUUGGUUAAGUUGUUUGUCAAGGCUGUUCUUUUAUUUUGCAGUGAUCGCAUCAUUUAUUUGUGCAUUAUUUUGGAAAUUAUAUUGAAGCAGAUUAUGAUUGCAUAUUGCUCUUAUUUUCAUGGCAAGCUGCUUUCUUAAAUGAUUUCUUUGUUUGUGUUAAAGUGAUUUUCCAGUGGAUUUAGAAUGAUUUCUGAGUGAUCUUGGUGUGCUUAAAACCGUCUACUAACAUAUCCUGUGCAAGUGGCUGAUGCUUAGGUCUUAAAUAUUUCAUUGUCCGGGAAGAUUUACUUAGUGCUGUAUUUUUUUUAUAGUAUGUAAAUAAGUAACGAAUCAGACAACUCCUAUAUUGUGCAGGAGCGUGUCAUAGUUACUUUGUCAUCUUUUAUGGUCAUGAAUGGUUUGGCACAUUUGUCACAUGCACACUGCAUGUAAAAUAUAUGGGUAAUGCAACAAUUAAAGAGAACUUGUUUUUAGUGUAUAAGAUUAUACAAAGUGCAAGAUGAAUUUCAAUUUAAAUUGCAUAGACUUUGUGCUAAAGUUCAGUCUUAUAAAAAACUCCGUAAUGCCAAAAUAUUUGGCUUUGAACUAUUCUUGGGGCGUUGAAGCCAAAGAAAUGUUUAUGUGAAAUUCUUCAUGAGCUAAACAAUGCAAUUUACGAAUAUUAUUUUAUAUUUGUAGUAUGAGAAAUGUUUAUGUGAAAUUAGCAGAUAGAAAUUGUGUAAUGUGGAAUGUGUGCACUGAAGACCC
This 1290-nucleotide long non-coding RNA is filed under the name Musa acuminata (dwarf banana). RNAcentral describes it as "long non-coding RNA (MACU_LNC001635)". The record is from RNAcentral. Lineage: Eukaryota; Viridiplantae; Streptophyta; Magnoliopsida; Zingiberales; Musaceae.